GUCUACGGCCAUAUCACAUUGAAAACACCGGUUCUCGUCCGAUCACCGAAGUUAAGCAACGUCGAGCCCGGUUAGUACUUGGAUGGGUGACCGCCUGGGAAUACCGGGUGCUGUAGGCU
This 119-nucleotide ribosomal RNA is filed under the name Helobdella robusta. The record is from RNAcentral. Lineage: Eukaryota; Metazoa; Annelida; Clitellata; Rhynchobdellida; Glossiphoniidae.